This 434-nucleotide ribosomal RNA is filed under the name uncultured Lachnospiraceae bacterium. RNAcentral's name for it is "partial 16S ribosomal RNA". It matches the Rfam family "Bacterial small subunit ribosomal RNA", at positions 341 to 792 of the family's 1533-position model. The record is from RNAcentral. Lineage: Bacteria; Bacillati; Bacillota; Clostridia; Lachnospirales; Lachnospiraceae.
ACGGAAGGCAGCAGUGGGGAAUAUUGCACAAUGGGGGAAACCCUGAUGCAGCGACGCCGCGUGAGUGAAGAAGUAUUUCGGUAUGUAAAGCUCUAUCAGCAAGGAAGAAAAUGACGGUACUUGACUAAGAGGCCCCGGCUAACUACGUGCCAGCAGCCGCGGUAAUACGUAGGGGGCAAGCGUUAUCCGGAUUUACUGGGUGUAAAGGGAGCGUAGACGGUAAUGCAAGUCAGAAGUGAAAGCCCAAGGCUCAACCAUGGGACUGCUUUUGAAACUGUAAUACUAGAGUGCAGGAGAGGUAAGUGGAAUUCCUAGUGUAGCGGUGAAAUGCGUAGAUAUUAGGAGGAACACCAGUGGCGAAGGCGGCUUACUGGACUGUAACUGACGUUGAGGCUCGAAAGCGUGGGGAGCAAACAGGAUUAGAUACCCUGGUA